This 254-nucleotide ribosomal RNA is filed under the name uncultured bacterium. Its description in RNAcentral is "partial 16S ribosomal RNA". It matches the Rfam family "Bacterial small subunit ribosomal RNA", at positions 524 to 776 of the family's 1533-position model. The record is from RNAcentral.
UACGAAGGGGACUAGCGUUGUUCGGAAUCACUGGGCGUAAAGCGCACGUAGGCGGAUUUGUAAGUCAGGGGUGAAAUCCCGGGGCUCAACCUCGGAACUGCCUUUGAUACUGCGAAUCUCGAGUCCGAUAGAGGUGGGUGGAAUUCCUAGUGUAGAGGUGAAAAUUCGUAGAUAUUAGGAAGAACACCGGUGGCGAAGGCGGCCCACUGGAUCGGUACUGACGCUGAGGUGCGAAAGCGUGGGGAGCAAACAGG